UUCAUCUUUGAAAACAACGUGAAUCGGUCCAUGUGAGAAGAUGCAGUGGAAGUGACUCUGCUGAUGAUCAUGUGUUCCAAGACCUUGACCUUGGAAUCCUCCUUGUUGAGCG
Molecule: long non-coding RNA, 112 nt
Organism: Labeo rohita (rohu)
Lineage: Eukaryota; Metazoa; Chordata; Actinopteri; Cypriniformes; Cyprinidae
Exons: 3
Source: RefSeq, a predicted model, not a curated record